Molecule: non-coding RNA, 75 nt
Organism: Trichonephila inaurata madagascariensis
Lineage: Eukaryota; Metazoa; Arthropoda; Arachnida; Araneae; Nephilidae
Source: the annotation of a GenBank genome assembly
GUCCGCGUGGCCUAAUGGAUAAGGCUUUGAUUUCCCGAAUCAAAAGUUUUGCGGUUUUAAACCCUGUGGCGGACG